This 339-nucleotide ribosomal RNA is filed under the name Triticum aestivum (bread wheat). RNAcentral describes it as "partial small subunit ribosomal RNA". Lineage: Eukaryota; Viridiplantae; Streptophyta; Magnoliopsida; Poales; Poaceae. The record is from RNAcentral.
AUGAGUACUCAUGGUUGCUUUGCUAUCCCUUUCCCCCCUUCUUUCUUCUUUCUGGUUGUUGCAACCAGAUGGUGGAGCUCAGGAUCCAGACGACACCACCGACGACUACUACAACCCCGAGGGUGCCUACUACUACGUGGAGGCCGCCGACGACCAGGAGUAGUUAGGAGGCUCCCAGGCAGGAGGCCUUGCCUUUUCGAUUGUUGUUGCUUUUGUGCUAGCCUUCUUAAGGCAAACUUGUCUAACUUAUGUCUGUACUCAGAUAUUGUUGCUUCCGCUGACUCUUGUGUAUUCGAGCUUAUGUAUUCGAGCCCUCGAGGCUCCUGGCUUGUAAUAUAA